UCUGACCUCAAAUCAGG
This 17-nucleotide ribosomal RNA is filed under the name Sparassis brevipes. Its description in RNAcentral is "partial large subunit ribosomal RNA". Lineage: Eukaryota; Fungi; Basidiomycota; Agaricomycetes; Polyporales; Sparassidaceae. The record is from RNAcentral. RNAcentral also lists the same sequence under 4 other names.